AGCAGUCGCCGCGGUAAUACGUAGGUCCCGAGCGUUGUCCGGAUUUAUUGGGCGUAAAGGGAGCGCAGGCGGUUUAGUAAGUCUGAAGUUGAAGGCAUUGGCUCAACCAAUGUAUGCUUUGGAAACUGUUAGACUUGAGUGCAGAAGGGGAGAGUGGAAUUCCAUGUGUAGCGGUGAAAUGCGUAGAUAUAUAGAGGAGCACCGGUGGCGAAAGCGGCUCUCUGGUCUGUCACUGACGCUGAGGCUCGAAAGCGUGGGUAGCGAACAGGAUUAGAUACCCCCGUAGUCCCUGUCUCUUAUACA
RNAcentral lists this ribosomal RNA (303 nucleotides) under uncultured bacterium. RNAcentral's name for it is "partial 16S ribosomal RNA". It matches the Rfam family "Bacterial small subunit ribosomal RNA", at positions 507 to 808 of the family's 1533-position model. The record is from RNAcentral.